This 33-nucleotide transfer RNA is filed under the name Rosa kokanica. RNAcentral describes it as "partial tRNA-Val". The record is from RNAcentral. Lineage: Eukaryota; Viridiplantae; Streptophyta; Magnoliopsida; Rosales; Rosaceae.
UAAUUUAUAUCUAAUUAGUUAAAUUUAUAUUUA